RNAcentral lists this long non-coding RNA (957 nucleotides) under Salmo salar (Atlantic salmon). Its description in RNAcentral is "lncRNA (ENSSSAG00000099707.1)". Lineage: Eukaryota; Metazoa; Chordata; Actinopteri; Salmoniformes; Salmonidae. The record is from RNAcentral.
GGUAACAGAAGGGUGUGGUAGGGAUGGUAACCGCAAGGUGUGGUAGGGAUGGUAACCGCAAGGUGUGGUAGGGAUGGUAAUCACAAGGUGUGGUAGGGAUGGUAACCACAAGGUGUGGUAGGGAUGGUAACCACAAGGUGUGGUAGGGAUGGUAACAGAAGGGUGUGGUAGGGAUGGUAAUCACAAGGUGUGGUAGGGAUGGUAACCACAAGGUGUGGUAGGGAUGGUAACCACAAGGUGUGGUAGGGAUGGUAACAGAAGGGUGUGGUAGGGAUGGUAACCGCAAGGUGUGGUAGGGAUGGUAACAGAAGGGUGUGGUAGGGAUGGUAAUCACAAGGUGUGGUAGGGAUGGUAACCGCAAGGUGUGGUAGGGAUGGUAACCGCAAGGUGUGGUAGGGAUGGGGUAUGGGUAGGGUGUGAGGAAUCAAGGGGGAAAGGAUUAGGAUUGGGUCUGUCACAUGGGCCUGCAUACCUGCUGACUAACACAGCCAUGCUGGCUCUUCAGACUGGACACCGUGUCCUGGAACUUUUGGGUCUGCUCCUCAGCCUGGAGAGAGAGGGGAGAGAGGGAGGAAAUGAGAGGGGGUCAAAAAGAUGCAGUUUGAGCUCAUAAAGGAGCUAGAGGUGAGAUAGACAUUGGUAGAUAGAGAGGGCAUUGAGUAAAGUGAUUAAUCCUAACAUGGAAAAGUCCAUUCUGAAACCCACUGCAUACUCUGGGAGACUGCUGGUGUGAACCUGGACAUGGUUCUCUGGCUGUACACAGAGUCCAUCAUAGCAAAUGAGGAUGAACAAAAGCAGUGGAUGGAGUUUUUUCAAUAAUUUUCUGUCUGAGACUGGGUUGUGGGCAUGUACACUUCCACAUACAUGUGCUGGACCCCUCUGUCUCCCUGUGGAUCGUCUCUCUCUCUUUCUCUCCCUCCCUGCUCUUUACUUCUCUCAUGUCUGGGAGCAGUAAUC